GCUUAACACAUGCAAGUCGAGCGGUAACAGGAGAAGCUUGCUUCUUGCUGACGAGCGGCGGACGGGUGAGUAAUACUUAGGAAUCUGCCCAGUAGUGGGGGAUAGCUCGGGGAAACUCGAAUUAAUACCGCAUACACCCUACGGGGAAAAGGGGGCGCUUGCGCUCUCGCUAUUGGAUGAGCCUAAGUCGGAUUAGCUAGUUGGUGGGGUAAAGGCCUACCAAGGCGACGAUCUGUAGCUGGUCUGAGAGGAUGAUCAGCCACACCGGGACUGAGACACGGCCCGGACUCCUACGGGAGGCAGCAGUGGGGAAUAUUGGACAAUGGGGGCAACCCUGAUCCAGCCAUGCCGCGUGUGUGAAGAAGGCCUUUUGGUUGUAAAGCACUUUAAGCAGUGAAGAAGACUCUAUGGUUAAUACCCAUAGACGAUGACAUUAGCUGCAGAAUAAGCACCGGCUAACUCUGUGCCAGCAGCCGCGGUAAUACAGAGGGUGCAAGCGUUAAUCGGAAUUACUGGGCGUAAAGCGAGCGUAGGUGGCUUAAUAAGUCAGAUGUGAAAUCCCCGGGCUUAACCUGGGAACUGCAUCUGAUACUGUUAAGCUAGAGUAGGUGAGAGGGAGGUAGAAUUUCAGGUGUAGCGGUGAAAUGCGUAGAGAUCUGAAGGAAUACCGAUGGCGAAGGCAGCCUCCUGGCAUCAUACUGACACUGAGGUUCGAAAGCGUGGGUAGCAAACAGGAUUAGAUACCCUGGUAGUCCACGCCGUAAACGAUGUCUACUAGUCGUUGGGGAACUUGAUUCCUUAGUGACGCAGCUAACGCAAUAAGUAGACCGCCUGGGGAGUACGGCCGCAAGGUUAAAACUCAAAUGAAUUGACGGGGGCCCGCACAAGCGGUGGAGCAUGUGGUUUAAUUCGAUGCAACGCGAAGAACCUUACCUGGUCUUGACAUAUCUAGAAUCCUGCAGAGAUGCGGGAGUGCCUUCGGGAAUUAGAAUACAGGUGCUGCAUGGCUGUCGUCAGCUCGUGUCGUGAGAUGUUGGGUUAAGUCCCGCAACGAGCGCAACCCUUUUCCUUAGUUACCAGCGGUUAGGCCGGGGACUCUAAGGAUACUGCCAGUGACAAACUGGAGGAAGGCGGGGACGACGUCAGUCAUCAUGGCCCUUACGACCAGGGCUACCCCGUGCUACAAUGGUAGGUACAGAGGGCUGCUCCCAGGGAUG
RNAcentral lists this ribosomal RNA (1217 nucleotides) under Psychrobacter sanguinis. RNAcentral's name for it is "bacterial SSU rRNA". It matches the Rfam family "Bacterial small subunit ribosomal RNA", at positions 46 to 1262 of the family's 1533-position model. The record is from RNAcentral. Lineage: Bacteria; Pseudomonadati; Pseudomonadota; Gammaproteobacteria; Moraxellales; Moraxellaceae.